Molecule: ribosomal RNA, 492 nt
Filed under: uncultured bacterium
Lineage: Bacteria
Description: partial 16S ribosomal RNA
Rfam family: Bacterial small subunit ribosomal RNA
Source: RNAcentral
AGUGAACGCUGGCGGUAGGCCUAACACAUGCAAGUCGAACGGCAGCACAGUAAGAGCUUGCUCUUACGGGUGGCGAGUGGCGGACGGGUGAGGAAUACAUCGGAAUCUACUUUUUCGUGGGGGAUAACGUAGGGAAACUUACGCUAAUACCGCAUACGACCUACGGGUGAAAGCAGGGGAGCUUCGGACCUGGCGCGAGGGAAGGAGCCGAUGUCGGAUUAGCGAGUUGGCGGGGUAAAGGCCCACCAAGGCGACGAUCCGUAGCUGGUCUGAGAGGAUGAUCCGCCACACUGGACCUGCGACACGGUCCAGCCUCCUACGGGAGGCAGCAGUGGGGCAUAUUGGCCCCUCGGCGCACGCCUGCUCCAGCCCUCCCGCGUGGGUGAAGCAGGCCUUCGGGUUGUAAAGCCCUUUUGUUGGGACAGACAAGCAGCAGGUUAAUCCCCCGCUGUUCUGCCGGUCCCCAACGCAUAAGCACCGGCUAACUUCGUG